AGGGUGUGCUCAGAGCAGGUGGCCUGAAGAAUGGCUUCUCUGUUUAUAACACAUCCAACAGGAAUUUAAGGUCACUGUGACAAGGGGCACAAAAUUUGUGACUUCCCAUUGAGCAAAUGUCCCACAUAU
Molecule: small nucleolar RNA, 129 nt
Organism: Octodon degus (degu)
Lineage: Eukaryota; Metazoa; Chordata; Mammalia; Rodentia; Octodontidae
Source: Ensembl